Molecule: ribosomal RNA, 255 nt
Filed under: uncultured bacterium
Lineage: Bacteria
Description: partial 16S ribosomal RNA
Rfam family: Bacterial small subunit ribosomal RNA
Source: RNAcentral
CGGACGGGUGAGUAACGCGUGGAUAACCUGCCUUACACUGGGGGAUAACACUUAGAAAUAGGUGCUAAUACCGCAUAAGCGCACAGAGCCGCAUGGCUCAGUGUGAAAAACUUCGGUGGUGUAAGAUGGAUCCGCGUCUGAUUAGCUGGUUGGCGGGGUAGAAGCCCACCAAGGCGACGAUCAGUAGCCGGCCUGAGAGGGUGAACGGCCACAUUGGGACUGAGACACGGCCCAAACUCCUACGGAAGGCAGCAG